AGGUCCAUUAGAGCUUUAUCUGCUGGAAGAAGACUGAGGAUAUGAUCAACUGUCUCCUGCUACUUGGGACAAAGCAUCAAUUUACUUGGCCAGGCUACAGACCCUCUUGGAAAACCUGCUUGAAUCUCCCAAAAGAGAGGCCAGGAAAGAUAUCAGUGUUGAAUCAUGAAGGACAAUUUCAAUGGAAGCCAGUGCAGCCCAGACCAAGCUAUAGGAUGAGAGCAAUUAGAGAUAGAAAUGUAUCUUAAGGCCCUAAGUCGGCAAGCAUGGAAACACACGCUUCAGCAG
Long non-coding RNA from Mauremys reevesii (Reeves's turtle), 288 nucleotides. RefSeq lists it as uncharacterized. The record is from RefSeq and is a predicted model, not a curated record. The transcript is spliced from 3 exons. NCBI's taxonomy places the organism in Eukaryota, Metazoa, Chordata, Testudines, Geoemydidae.